AUACUUACCUGACAGGAGAGAUACCAUGAUCACAAAAGUGGUUUUCCCAGGGCGAGGCUUAUGCACGGCACUCUGGAUGUGCUGACCCCUACGAUUUCCCCAAAUGUGGGAAGCUCAACUUCCUAAUUUGUGGUAUUGCAGGACUGCAUUCGCUCUCUCCUCUG
Molecule: small nuclear RNA, 164 nt
Organism: Artibeus jamaicensis (Jamaican fruit-eating bat)
Lineage: Eukaryota; Metazoa; Chordata; Mammalia; Chiroptera; Phyllostomidae
Product: U1 spliceosomal RNA
Exons: 1
Source: RefSeq, a predicted model, not a curated record